GUUAUUUGUAAAAAAAAAUUGAUAAUAUUCUCAAUUAACAUGGUUUCUAAAAAUUCUUGGAAUUUUUUUUCCUGAAUGCGUGUUUUAAGGCCUUUAAAAAAUAAAGUCAGAUUGACAAAGCUGACAGCUAAGUUUUACUUUUGAAAAAACAAAUUUUUUUUUUAACAAAAGAAAUAUUUGGGUUUUUUAUCCUUACUCUCUUUAAAAAUAAUGAAAUUUGUAAAUCUUGGUUGUCAUUCUGCCUUUCUGGGCCAGUUUUUUCCCCAGAAUUUAACUGAUAACAUUCACUGUUCUAUAAAUAUGAACUAACCUGGUUUCUCUAUUUUUCUGUACUAGAACUUCUUAACUGUCCAGUGUCAGCUUCCUCCAUGUAAGCAGCACACCUUUACCCUUAAAAACUGAGUCUUAAGUUGUCACAAACACUCAGUACAAAUCAUCUGCUUAGUACAGUUAUGUUUAGCACUUGGACAGCCUUUAGAAUUAAAGAGUGUUUAUUGGUCCCAGGGUCUCUUCAUGGUAGCAUUUUAGAUGUUAGUGUUACAACCUCUGAUAUGUCCAGCUAAGAGAUUUUUUUCUUUUACAGAGAGAGAUUUUUGGAGUCUAAAAAUAGUAAAUGAAUUCUAAAUUAUAUUCACAGAAUUGUUCAUUAGCAUUUUAAGUGUUCUAUCUUCUAGCUUUCAUAAGUUAAUUUAUUAAUUUCUUAUUUGGUAGUAAUAGGCCACAAUUCUUCAAUAUGUAAAUUCAGAAACACAAAAUAAUGAUGCAAGGAAGAAAGUUGUGUCAUCUUUCUACUCCCAAGUUUCAAUAGUUACUCAUAUGCAGAAGCAGAUUUUAAGAGUGUUUUAUGUUAAUUCUGAGGAUAUAGCGGGAAAAUAAAGUGUUUCUCCUAUUAUUUGUUCACAACAUAGAUCACUUCUGUGAUCCUAAAAUGUGUGCGAAAUUAUAGCUCUAAUCCAGUUCAGUUCUGACACUGUGUGAAGAUAAAAGCAAAAGUGAUAGACUGAGAACUCAGUUCCACCAGACUGCCCUUCACUUUAGAUGCCAGUCACAAGUCCAGGCCUCUAGAAGUUCUGACCAACUAGCUAUGAAUUGGAAUUCCUGGAACCCCUUCCUUAGACUUGAUCAUUUUUCAAAAAAUAACUCAUAGAGCUCAGAAAAAUACAUACACUCAUUAUAAAUGAUAUUUUAAAGGAUAGAAGUAAACAGCCAGCUGAAGGUAUACCUAGGGCAAUAUCUGGAUGGGCCUUGACUGCAGGAGCUUCUGUCCCCAUGGAGUUGGAGUGUACCAUCCUCAAGCACAGGUAGGAGUUCUUGCUUACCUUCCUAUAAGCCUCCAUGUGUUCAGCUGUUCAGAAGCUCUCAAUCUUAUCCUACGGAGGCUUUACUGAAACCUCUUUGUAUAUGAUUGAAGGGUGUAGAACUGUGGUUGGACAAAAAGGAUAUGGUAUGAUGUUAAUAGACUGAGUGGGGAAAUCCAGCAAAGCCUGUCUGUUCAGAUUCGUCUUGGCCUGUCUAUAGUAUUUCUUCCUCCUGGGUAUGAGGCAGGACUGAAAUGGGAGUCUUAUGAUCUGCUUACUAACCGACAAGGUAGGUGAGAGAAUUUUUUUAAUGGCCAUCUCCAAGACAGUUGUGGGGGAAGAUUACAGUAUAUUUUAUGACAUGCCUUGGGGAGGAAAUUCCAGUUUCUGUGGUCCUGACUUGGGGAAGAAAAGGAGCAGGAAUGUGCCAGUUACUAUCAUGAUGGGCUCUGGAAAUACACACUCAACAGGACAGACAUUCUCUGUCCUCAAAGGUGUUCCAUCACAGUGGGAUACAAAGGAGUGUAAAGCGAUAAAUGCUGUGAAGAAAACUAAAGCAGAUCAAGGGUGCAAAGAGUGACAGAAUUGGCUUAAGUUUUAAUUACUAGUAUAAGGGCCUCUUUACAAAAAUUAUGUUUAGUAGUUCAGAAUUUAAGUGUCCUAUUAGGUAAAGCUGGGUUCUAUUUGUGAGCUAACACCUUAAUGAUUUUUCAAAUCUAUUUCUAGUCAGAAUUGCUUAAGCAAGUGAGUUCUAAGGCCAUAUAGCAUACCUUAAAAACACUGCAGCAAAGCCCAUGUCUUUUCUCAAUGUUUUUAAUACACCACUGGUAAAGAAGCACACAAUUUUAUUUAAACCGGUUGGCCUGAGAUGGACCUGGCAGAGAAUUACCAGAGAUGGUAAAGUAGAGAUUUCUGAAGUUGAGUUUCAAAAGGACUUUAGAAGCCAUGUAUCUCAUUUUCAUAGCCAAAGAAGGAAUUACUCUAUGACACCAACUACUGGUAAGACUUCAAGUACAUCACCUGUAUUCUUUUUGUCUAUACUAUUCUUU
RNAcentral lists this long non-coding RNA (2347 nucleotides) under Marmota monax (woodchuck). Lineage: Eukaryota; Metazoa; Chordata; Mammalia; Rodentia; Sciuridae. The record is from RNAcentral.